UACGGAGGGUGCAAGCGUUAUCCGGAUUCACUGGGUUUAAAGGGUGCGUAGGCGGGUUGGUAAGUCCGUGGUGAAAUCCCCAAGCUUAACUUGGGAACUGCCGUGGAUACUAUCAAUCUUGAAUAUCGUGGAGGUAAGCGGAAUUUCCGGUGUAGCGGUGAAAUGCGUAGAUAUCGGAAGGAACAUCAGUGGCGAAAGCGGCUUCCUGGACCAGCACCGACGUUCAGGCACGAAAGCGUGGGGAGCAAACAGG
Molecule: ribosomal RNA, 253 nt
Filed under: uncultured bacterium
Lineage: Bacteria
Description: partial 16S ribosomal RNA
Rfam family: Bacterial small subunit ribosomal RNA
Source: RNAcentral